GGUGAGUAACGCGUGAGUAACCUGCCUUACACAAGGGGAUAGCCGUUGGAAACGACGAAUAAUACCCUAUGAAACUAUCACUUCGCAUGAAGCGAUAGUCAAAGUGUUAGCGGUGUAAGAUGGACUUGCGUCUGAUUAGCUAGUUGGUGAGAAAAAGCCCACCAAGGCAACGAUCAGUAGCCGGCUUGAGAGAGUGUACGGCCACAUUGGGACUGAGGCACGGCCCAG
Molecule: ribosomal RNA, 228 nt
Filed under: uncultured Eubacteriales bacterium
Lineage: Bacteria; Bacillati; Bacillota; Clostridia; Eubacteriales
Description: uncultured Clostridiales bacterium partial 16S ribosomal RNA
Rfam family: Bacterial small subunit ribosomal RNA
Source: RNAcentral